Molecule: ribosomal RNA, 273 nt
Filed under: uncultured bacterium
Lineage: Bacteria
Description: partial 16S ribosomal RNA
Rfam family: Bacterial small subunit ribosomal RNA
Source: RNAcentral
UACGGAGGGUGCAAGCGUUAUCCGGAUUCACUGGGUUUAAAGGGUGCGUAGGAGGGCAGGUAAGUCAGUGGUGAAAUCUCCGGGCUUAACUCGGAAACUGCCGUUGAUACUAUCUGUCUUGAAUACCGUGGAGGUGAGCGGAAUAUGUCAUGUAGCGGUGAAAUGCUUAGAUAUGACAUAGAACACCAAUUGCGAAGGCAGCUCACUACACGAAUAUUGACUCUGAGGCACGAAAGCGUGGGGAUCAAACAGGAUUAGAAACCCCCGUAGUCC